GGACCCUUGGCGCAACGGUAGCGCGUCAGAUUCCAGCGCUAGAGGUUACCUGUUCGAAUCAGGUAGGGUUCA
Talaromyces islandicus is the source of this 72-nucleotide non-coding RNA. Lineage: Eukaryota; Fungi; Ascomycota; Eurotiomycetes; Eurotiales; Trichocomaceae. The record is from the annotation of a GenBank genome assembly.